RNAcentral lists this ribosomal RNA (157 nucleotides) under uncultured bacterium. Its description in RNAcentral is "partial 16S ribosomal RNA". It matches the Rfam family "Bacterial small subunit ribosomal RNA", at positions 355 to 509 of the family's 1533-position model. The record is from RNAcentral.
UGAGGAAUAUUGGUCAAUGGGAGAGAUCCUGAACCAGCCAAGCCGCGUGAGGGAAGACGGCCCUAUGGGUUGUAAACCUCUUUUGUUCGGAGAACAAAACCCGGGACGUGUCCCGGACUGCGUGUAUCCGAAGAAAAGCAUCGGCUAACUCCGUGCC